UACGGAGGAUGCAAGCGUUAUCCGGAAUGAUUGGGCGUAAAGCGUCCGCAGGUGGCUUUGUAAGUCUGCUGUUAAAUAGUGAGGCUUAACCUCAUAAAGGCAGUGGAAACUACAAGGCUAGAGUGCGUUCGGGGCAGAGGGAAUUCCUGGUGUAGCGGUGAAAUGCGUAGAGAUCAGGAAGAACACCGGUGGCGAAAGCGCUCUGCUAGGCCGCAACUGACACUGAGGGACGAAAGCUAGGGGAGCGAAUGGG
This 253-nucleotide ribosomal RNA is filed under the name uncultured bacterium. RNAcentral describes it as "partial 16S ribosomal RNA". It matches the Rfam family "Bacterial small subunit ribosomal RNA", at positions 524 to 776 of the family's 1533-position model. The record is from RNAcentral.